RNAcentral lists this ribosomal RNA (499 nucleotides) under uncultured bacterium. RNAcentral describes it as "bacterial SSU rRNA". It matches the Rfam family "Bacterial small subunit ribosomal RNA", at positions 16 to 509 of the family's 1533-position model. The record is from RNAcentral.
AUCCUGGCUCAGGAUGAACGCUAGCGGCAGGCUUAACACAUGCAAGUCGAGGGGCAGCGCGGGGUAGCAAUACUCUGGCGGCGACCGGCGAAAGGGUGAGUAACGCGUGAGCAACGUGCCCGUAUGUGGGGGAUAGUCGAUGGAAACGUCGCGUAAUACCCCGUAACACAAGGGACCGCAUGAUCUCUUGUUGAAAGAUUCAUUGCAUACGGAUCGGCUCGCGUGCCAUUAGGUAGACGGCGGGGUAACGGCCCACCGUGCCGACGAUGGCUAGGGGUUCUGAGAGGAAGGUCCCCCACAUUGGAACUGAGACACGGUCCAGACUCCUACGGGAGGCAGCAGUGAGGAAUAUUGGACAAUGGCCGGAAGGCUGAUCCAGCCAUGCCGCGUGCGGGAGGACGGCCCUAUGGGUUGUAAACCGCUUUUGCGAGGGAGCAAUAAGAUCCACGUGUGGGUCGAUGAGAGUACCUCGCGAAUAAGCAUCGGCUAACUCCGUGCC